GAGACCCGCAUUCCCCGUUGCAACUAGCCUUGAGCUGGGCACACUGGGAAGACCGCCGUCGAUAAGACGGAGGAAGGAGCGGGCAACGGUAGGUCAGUAUGCCCCGAAUGUCCCGGGCUACACGCGAGCUACAAUGGAUGGUACAACGGGCAUCGACUCCGAAAGGGGAAGGAAAUCUCAUAAAGCCAUUCUUAGUUCGGAUUGAGGGCUGCAACUCGCCCUCAUGAAGCUGGAAUCCGUAGUAAUCGCGCUUCAACAGAGCGCGGUGAAUAC
RNAcentral lists this ribosomal RNA (273 nucleotides) under uncultured archaeon. RNAcentral describes it as "partial 16S rRNA". It matches the Rfam family "Archaeal small subunit ribosomal RNA", at positions 1047 to 1325 of the family's 1478-position model. The record is from RNAcentral.